Molecule: ribosomal RNA, 468 nt
Filed under: uncultured bacterium
Lineage: Bacteria
Description: partial 16S ribosomal RNA
Rfam family: Bacterial small subunit ribosomal RNA
Source: RNAcentral
GACGAACGCUGGCGGCGUGCUUAACACAUGCAAGUCGAACGGAAAGGCCCUGCUUUUGUGGGGUGCUCGAGUGGCGAACGGGUGAGUAACACGUGAGUAACCUGCCCUUGACUUUGGGAUAACUUCACGAAACUGGGGCUAAUACCGGAUAGGAGCUCCUGCUGCAUGGUGGGGGUUGGAAAGUUUCGGCGGUUGGGGAUGGACUCGCGGCUUAUCAGCUUGUUGGUGGGGUAGUGGCUUACCAAGGCUUUGACGGGUAGCCGGCCUGAGAGGGUGACCGGCCACAUUGCGACUGAGAUACGGCCCAGACUCCUACGGGAGGCAGCAGUGGGGAAUAUUGCACAAUGGGCGGAAGCCUGAUGCAGCAACGCCGCGUGCGGGAUGACGGCCUUCGGGUUGUAAACCGCUUUCGCCUGUGACGAAGCGUGAGUGACGGUAAUGGGUAAAGAAGCACCGGCUAACUACGUG